RNAcentral lists this ribosomal RNA (372 nucleotides) under uncultured bacterium. RNAcentral's name for it is "bacterial SSU rRNA". It matches the Rfam family "Bacterial small subunit ribosomal RNA", at positions 524 to 898 of the family's 1533-position model. The record is from RNAcentral.
UACGGAGGAUGCAAGCGUUAUCCGGAUUUAUUGGGUUUAAAGGGUGCGUAGGCGGGACUGUAAGUCAGGGGUGAAAUACUGCAGCUUAACUGUAGCAUUGCCUUUGAAACUGCCGUUCUUGAGUACAGUUGAGGUAGGCGGAAUGUGGUGUGUAGCGGUGAAAUGCAUAGAUAUACCACAGAACGCCGAUUGCGAAGGCAGCUUACUAAGCUGUUACUGACGCUGAGGCACGAAAGCGUGGGGAUCAAACAGGAUUAGAUACCCUGGUAGUCCACGCUGUAAACGAUGAUUACUGGUUGUUAGCGAUAUAUAGCUAGUGACUGAGCGAAAGCAUUAAGUAAUCCACCUGGGGAGUACGUCGGCAACGAUGAA